GUGCCAGCCGCCGCGGUAAUACGUAGGUGGCGAGCGUUGUCCGGAAUUACUGGGUGUAGAGGGUGCGCAGGCGGGACUGCAAGUUGGAUGUGAAAUACCGGGGCUCAACCCCGGGGCUGCAUCCAAAACUGUGGUUCUUGAGUGAAGUAGAGGUAGGCGGAAUUCCGAGUGUAGCGGUGAAAUGCGUAGAUAUUCGGAGGAACACCAGUGGCGAAGGCGGCCUACUGGGCUUUAACUGACGCUGAGGCACGAAAGCAUGGGGAGCAAACAGGAUUAGAUACCCUGGUAGUCCAUGCCGUAAACGAUGAUUGCUAGGUGUGGGGGGACUGACCCCCUCCGUGCCGGAGUUAACACAAUAAGCAAUCCACCUGGGGAGUACGACCGCAAGGUUGAAACUCAAAGGAAUUGACGG
RNAcentral lists this ribosomal RNA (412 nucleotides) under uncultured bacterium. Its description in RNAcentral is "bacterial SSU rRNA". It matches the Rfam family "Bacterial small subunit ribosomal RNA", at positions 505 to 916 of the family's 1533-position model. The record is from RNAcentral.